AUUUGGUAAGGGUGGUGCGGAUAAAACUGUGGUGCAGAUAGUGAAAGUAUUGGGGGAGGCAAUAUAAAUUGAAAAUCCAGAAUUGAAAAAACACAAUUCAGAGUUCAUGAAAUAGGGAUGCUGGAAGUAAAGGGCUGGGUUCAGAAACUUGCAAGCUAGACAGUCGCAUUGUGGCGCGACGGUGGCAGGUGACUUUUGCAGCGGCGGCGGGGCAGCGGUAUGAUAGUGGUCGCCGGCAAUGUAGUUGAUGGCGCUGGAGGGCGGCGUUGGUGUCCGGUGCGUGGAGGAGCACGCGUGAUGGUGUGUACGGGUGCGUGGCUGGGCGACGGCCGACGCGGAUUCUGUCGGCGGGGCUGCGUUGGCUGUAGCGGUGGUCGUCGGUGGAGUGGUGCGGUGAAAGCAGCGGAGAGUGUGAGGAAUGGGGUGACUGCCUCUGUGAGCGUGAGUGAGAAACAAAAAAAAAAGGGUAGUGAGUCGUGGAGUGAGAGUUUGGAGGUGAUGUGUGUUUUUGUCCUUUGGUAUGGGUUACCCCACCACGGUCUAUUAAGCCCACUUUUAAACUAUGUUAAAGGUUCAAGUUAGUUCAUUCAGUUACUAUUUAAGGUCUGAAAUUAUCAUAAAUAGAAGUAAGGUCUGAAAUUAUCAUAAAUAGUUUUAGUAUUUCAUAGUUAGUUUUAGUAUAGAUAGGAGUUGUUGUUCUUUUAGAGUUUUCAUUACUCUUAUAAUGUCUCCAAACAAAACAAAAAACUUAAAUAAAAUACUAAACUCCAUAAAAAAAGUGUUUAUCUACUAUUGAAGAAAUUGAAUACCUCUCCUCAAAAUCCCACACGGCUUAAACACCAGCGCCACGUCAUCAGCAUCGCACAGCUCCACUCAAUCACUAGAACAACCUCUACGCACAUUAGGUUGCACGCUGCAGCUCGCUGCACCUUGAGCCGGUCAACCACCAACGCCCCAAUUGUCACGUUGUCCAGUGUCGCCUAAAACAGUCUUCGCACACACCGGGCUCCAUCCCGCAACAUCGCUAUCAGCGUUUAGAUCCGUUCAACUAUCAUCAACCCAGUCGUUACCGCGCCGUCCAAUGUCGCUUGCAACUACACCUCUCGCAUAUAUCCCAAUUUUCGCGUCCCCCUUCGUCAUCUCCUUUAGAGCACCAAAAAUUGUUUCUCCCACUAACUUCAUCUCUCCCGUGAACGACACUCAAAUACAACCCAAAACAAAAGAAGCGCAGUAGCAAAGCUAAAAAAGAACGACAACCUCCACAUCAUUCUACAUCGCCCUCUAUCAAAAUUAUUCAGCCCCAACCCACCUUCACUCUUGAGGACCAAUUACAAUUUCUAAAAUGUAAGAUAA
Molecule: long non-coding RNA, 1353 nt
Filed under: Phaseolus vulgaris (common bean)
Lineage: Eukaryota; Viridiplantae; Streptophyta; Magnoliopsida; Fabales; Fabaceae
Description: long non-coding RNA (PVUL_LNC001653)
Source: RNAcentral